AGACAUUAACUAUGAUGGAUUACGUAAUUAGAGCAAAUAUCUAGUAAUGUAUUACAUAACAUUUAGACAUUUGCGAAAAGGAAUGCUACGGAAAAAAUCUCAAAGUAUUCAAACAGCUGACUCUAAAUUGAAUUUCAAAUUGUAAUCAUUUUAAAGUUAUAGAAGAUAAACAAGAAAUAAGAAACCAAAGGGAAAAGAGGAACGUCAAAGUGAGACAUACAAAUCAACGAACACAAAAAAAGAAAGGACAGAUGCAGGAUUUAUUAACUACUAGUAGAUGUUAUUGGCUUUGAACUAGCUGUCAGUAACUGCGAGCACUCUUAGAUCGUUUUAUUGUUGGGAUGUACAAGUACCCGGC
This 358-nucleotide long non-coding RNA is filed under the name Mytilus galloprovincialis (Mediterranean mussel). The record is from RNAcentral. Lineage: Eukaryota; Metazoa; Mollusca; Bivalvia; Mytilida; Mytilidae.